AAAUCAGGUGGGACUACCCGCUGAACUUAAGCAUAUCAAUAAGCGGAGGAAAAGAAAAUAACUAUGAUUCCCUUAGUAACGGCGAGUGAACAGGGAGAAGC
RNAcentral lists this ribosomal RNA (101 nucleotides) under uncultured Melampsora. RNAcentral describes it as "partial 28S ribosomal RNA". It matches the Rfam family "Eukaryotic large subunit ribosomal RNA", at positions 8 to 108 of the family's 3401-position model. Lineage: Eukaryota; Fungi; Basidiomycota; Pucciniomycetes; Pucciniales; Melampsoraceae. The record is from RNAcentral.